Molecule: non-coding RNA, 297 nt
Organism: Onychostoma macrolepis
Lineage: Eukaryota; Metazoa; Chordata; Actinopteri; Cypriniformes; Cyprinidae
Source: the annotation of a RefSeq genome assembly
AUGGAGUCCAUUGAAAGCACAGUUCAGAAAAAGCCUGGAGAAACUCUGACUCUGUCCUGUAGAGGAUCUGGGUUCAGCUUUGACUGCUGUGCUAUGCACUGGAUCAGACAACAAGCUGGAAAACCUCUUGUGUGGAUGGGUCUGGGCUACAGUGAUGGAAGUGGAUACAAGGCAGAAUCUGUUAAGGGGAGGCUUGAAAUCAGCGGAGAUGAUUCGAAAAGCAUGAUGAAUCUGAAACUGUCUGGACUGACAGAAGAGGACUCCGCUGUGUAUUUCUGUGCAAGAGAAUCACAGUGA